This 468-nucleotide ribosomal RNA is filed under the name uncultured bacterium. RNAcentral's name for it is "partial 16S ribosomal RNA". It matches the Rfam family "Bacterial small subunit ribosomal RNA", at positions 28 to 507 of the family's 1533-position model. The record is from RNAcentral.
GACGAACGCUGGCGGCGUGCUUAACACAUGCAAGUCGAACGGAAAGGCCCUGCUUUUGUGGGGUUCUCGAGUGGCGAACGGGUGAGUAACACGUGAGUAACCUGCCCUUGACUUUGGGAUAACUUCAGGAAACUGGGGCUAAUACCGGAUAGGAGCUCCUGCUGCAUGGUGGGGGUUGGAAAUUUUCGGCGGUUGGGGAUGGACUCGCGGCUUAUCAGCUUGUUGGUGGGGUAGUGGCUUACCAAGGCUUUGACGGGUAGCCGGCCUGAGAGGGUUACCGGCCACAUUGGGACUGAGAUACGGCCCAGACUCCUACGGGAGGCAGCAGUGGGGAAUAUUGCACAAUGGGCGGAAGCCUGAUGCAGCAACGCCGCGUGCGGGAUGACGGCCUUCGGGUUGUAAACCGCUUUAGCCUGUGACGAAGCGUGAGUGACGGUAAUGGGUAAAGAAGCACCGGCUAACUACGUG